This 1053-nucleotide long non-coding RNA is filed under the name Anas platyrhynchos platyrhynchos (common mallard). RNAcentral describes it as "lncRNA (ENSAPLG00000016589.1)". Lineage: Eukaryota; Metazoa; Chordata; Aves; Anseriformes; Anatidae. The record is from RNAcentral.
CAAAACAAUAUGGGAUCACCAGGGACAUGGGGACACCCCAGGGGACCCCAAAAUACCCCAAAUGAGACCAAUAUGAGAUCACCAGGGACAUGGGGACACCCCAGGGGACCCCAAAAUAUCCAAACCCAGAACAAUAUGGGAUCAAGAGGGACAUGGGGACACCCAAAGAAAUCCCAAACCCCCCAACCCAAGACAAUAUGGGAUCAUCAGAGACAUGGGGACACCCAGAAAACCCCAAGACACCCCAAAUCAGGACAAUAUGGGAUCACCAGGGACACGGGAACACCCCAGGGGACCCCAAAACAUCCCAACCCAGAAUAUGGGAUCACCAGGGACAUGAGGACACCCAGGGAAUACAGGGACACAUGAAAACCCCAAAACACCCCAAAUCAGGACGAUAUGGGAUCACCAGGGACACGGGGACACCCAGGGAAUAUGGGGUCACCCCAGGGGACAUAGGGACACCCAGGGGACCCCAAAACACCCCAAAUCAGGACAAUAUGGGAUCACCAGGGACACGGGGACGCCCAGGGAACAUGGGGACACCCAGGGAAACCCAAAACACCCCAAAUCAGCACAAUACGGGAUCCCCAGAGACACGGGGACACCCAGAAAACCCCAAAAUACCCCGAAUCAGCGCAAUACGGGAUCCCCAGGGAAAUGGGGCCACCCAGAAAACCCCCAAACACCCCAAAUCAGGACACUAUGGGAUCCCCAGGGACACGGGGACCCAGGGGACCCCAAAACACCCCAACCCAGAACAAUAUGGGAUCACCAGGGAUAUGGGGACACCCAAAAAACCCCCAAAACACCCCAAAUCAGCACAAUACGGGAUCCCCACGGACACAGGACCACCCAGGAGCCUCCCCCUCCCCUCCCAGAGCGUGCAGCUAUCGGGAAAAAUUUCGGGGCGCCGUACGGGGGGGGAAAUCCCAAAUCUUUUUGGGGUGCCCACCUCUCCCCAGGAGGUGCAGGAGCAGCCCCUGGGCCAGCAGCAUCUGCCCCGAGCGCAGGGCGCAGCCCCAGCCCCCGUCGGUGCUCCAGGAGGUCCCG